GAUGAACGCUAGCUACAGGCUUAACACAUGCAAGUCGAGGGGCAGCGGUAUCGAAAGCUUGCUUUCGGUAGCCGGCGACCGGCGCACGGGUGAGUAACGCGUAUCGAACCUGCCUCAUACUCGGGAAUAGCCUUGCGAAAGUAAGAUUAAUGCCCGGUGUUUUCAGAGUCCCGCAUGAGGCUUUGAACAAAGAUUUAUCGGUAUGAGAUGGCGAUGCGUCCCAUUAGCUUGUUGGCGGGGUAACGGCCCACCAAGGCAUCGAUGGGUAGGGGUUCUGAGAGGAAGGUCCCCCACAUUGGAACUGAGACACGGUCCAAACUCCUGCGGGAGGCAGCAGUGAGGAAUAUUGGUCAAUGGGCGGAAGCCUGAACCAGCCAAGUAGCGUGCAGGAAGACGGCCCUCCGGGUUGUAAACUGCUUUUAGUUGGGAAUAAAACGGGGCUCGUGAGCCCCCUUGCAUGUACCAUCAGAAAAAGGACCGGCUAAUUCCGUG
Molecule: ribosomal RNA, 492 nt
Filed under: uncultured bacterium
Lineage: Bacteria
Description: partial 16S ribosomal RNA
Rfam family: Bacterial small subunit ribosomal RNA
Source: RNAcentral